This 250-nucleotide ribosomal RNA is filed under the name uncultured bacterium. RNAcentral describes it as "partial 16S ribosomal RNA". It matches the Rfam family "Bacterial small subunit ribosomal RNA", at positions 527 to 776 of the family's 1533-position model. The record is from RNAcentral.
GUAGGGUGCAAGCGUUAAUCGGAAUUACUGGGCGUAAAGCGUGCGCAGGCGGCUUUGCAAGACAGAUGUGAAAUCCCCGGGCUUAACCUGGGAACUGCAUUCGAUACUGCCGUGCUUGAGGACUGGAGAGGAGACUGGAAUUUACGGUGUAGCGGUGAAAUGCGUAGAUAUCGUAAGGAAGACCAGUGGCGAAGGCGGGUCUCUGGACAGUUCCUGACGCUGAGGCACGAAGGUCAGGGGAGCAAACGGG